GUUUUUAGAUAACAUCGUUACAGUUUCCGACUACAGUUUUGUGCAUCUUAGUUCAUCAAAAAUGCUUCAUAUAGACCUUUUGGCUCACUUGCACUUCGAGUAUAUUAUUUGGUAUUGGAAGGGCAAGUUAACAUAACAAACAUUUUGAAAAAUACAGAAAAAUUGCAUGUUUGAAUGGGGAGGAAACGUAGCUUCCACACAUAUGAAGCUUUACUGUUCGCUAAAACAUUUCCUUUUGUGAGGCAAGUAAGCAUCAGAAGGACAACUCUUAGGGAUUAUGACGUCAGUGCGAUGCGUCUCGAAGUGAACACGUUGCUUGGUACGAAAUUUUCUUGACAAGAAAUUUUGCUACGUGUCAUAAAACACAUACACCGUUAACUAUUUCAAUGUGGUAGUCAGAAAUAAAUUUACAGUUAGAUUUUGAAAUUCUCAAAAGCAUAGAAGUAUUCCUGACUUAAAAAACUACAGGUGAACAGCUGUUAAAUGACGAGCCAGAGAAGGUAGCACGUGAACAACCCAACUACAUGGCUCGCAUUCAAAGUGCUACAAAAUCACUGAUAAAAAACCCGGAAGAACUGAAUCUGCCAACAGUUAGUGUAGAGUUUGACAAUUCCUUGUCAUCUCUUAUUCCAAAACAUGGAGAAUUAUUGGAAGGCGAAAAUGGACUCGACGAUUGCUGUUGUUGUUUCUGUUGCUGUUGGUUGCGAGACAAAAUGGGAUUAAGUGGAAACUACCAGGACCAGAAAACCAAAGCUUACGAUGAGAAAGCAGUAAAACCAUAUUCAGCGCUUUAUAAAUUUCUUUACUUUUCGCUUAAAUAAUACUACUGAAUGCGUCGAGGUUUUACAAUGAGUGAACUUUUAUAAACCGUUCAGUGCUCGAAUUAUUUUGGCACGUAGCUACGUAUACACAGCAAUCGAUAGAAAUCUAGACUAUUGAAAAAUAUCUCUUAUCUGUUCAGGGUUUGAAGGCCUUUGGCCUGAAGUAGUGGAAGGUGUAAACGCUUGAUGUGUAUUCUUGUGCCCAUUUGGUUGUUAUAGUGACUUUAUUUAGAUGCAAAUCUAACGCUACGUCAUCACGGCACAAACCACUAAAUUUUAAUGUGGAAUUAAAAUAAAACAUCGGACAGUUGAAUAUUUAAUUGUAACAUGAACCGUUGAAAUAAAACCGAAA
Molecule: unclassified non-coding RNA, 1173 nt
Filed under: Dendronephthya gigantea
Lineage: Eukaryota; Metazoa; Cnidaria; Anthozoa; Malacalcyonacea; Nephtheidae
Description: tripartite motif-containing protein 5-like, transcript variant X1
Source: RNAcentral